GUACUCGCUCGGCAACACCAACACUAAAAUACUACACAGGGAAGAUUAACCCAGCCCAUACACAAGGAUGACAUUCAAAAUCAUGAAGUGUUCCAUAUUUUU
Non-coding RNA from Otolemur garnettii (small-eared galago), 102 nucleotides. Lineage: Eukaryota; Metazoa; Chordata; Mammalia; Primates; Galagidae. The record is from Rfam.